Molecule: ribosomal RNA, 433 nt
Filed under: uncultured bacterium
Lineage: Bacteria
Description: partial 16S ribosomal RNA
Rfam family: Bacterial small subunit ribosomal RNA
Source: RNAcentral
AACGAACGCUGGCGGCAUGCCUAACACAUGCAAGUCGAACGAGACCUUCGGGUCUAGUGGCGCACGGGUGCGUAACGCGUGGGAACCUGCCCUUAGGUUCGGAAUAACUCCCCGAAAGGGGUGCUAAUACCGGAUAAUGUCUUCGGACUAAAGAUUUAUCGCCUUUGGAUGGGCCCGCGUUGGAUUAGCUAGUUGGUAGGGUAAAAGCCUACCAAGGCGACGAUCCAUAGCUGGUCUGAGAGGAUGAUCAGCCACACUGGGACUGAGACACGGCCCAGACUCCUACGGGAAGCAGCAGUGGGGAAUAUUGGACAAUGGGCGAAAGCCUGAUCCAGCAAUGCCGCGUGAGUGAUGAAGGCCUUAGGGUUGUAAAGCUCUUUUACCCGGGAUGAUAAUGACAGUACCGGGAGAAUAAGCUCCGGCUAACUCCGUG